This 27-nucleotide small RNA is filed under the name Bombyx mori (domestic silkworm). RNAcentral's name for it is "ovarian small RNA-20935". The record is from RNAcentral. Lineage: Eukaryota; Metazoa; Arthropoda; Insecta; Lepidoptera; Bombycidae.
UACCUUGUGGUUUCCGUCGCUGUUUGA